CCCGACCUCUAGGGCUUUCAGAAGGCGACGAAGGAAGGGACGAUCGGUCGGGUGGGGCAGCUGAUGGAGAGGCUUGACGGCGGUGCAGUGGGGCCUGGUGGUGUAUGUCCACCCUUCCAUCGCCAACAAGUUUGUAUGGCAGCCUGAGCCAUUCUUGCAAGAAAAGGGAAGUAAGUUGAUAUAUGUUUAUGCCUGAUUCCUGAAGAAGCUGUUGAGACAAGGGGGAGCAGAUCAAGGAAAUGUAAUCUGUAGAAGAAAAAUUCUUACAAGAGCUUUUAAUAUCAUGAGGACCAUUUUGAGCUUGUACCAAACUGCAUUAUUUGGUCGGUUUACAUCAUGAUACAGCCGCCCCUUAUGCACAAGGCUAGCACCAUCAUUCUAAAGAAUUUUCAUGUAAGUAUUCUGAUAUUAUGAGGGUGUAUUGUGUCAGUUAGGCGAUGAUAAGUUCGUCGUGUUAUGAAAUACUCAUUUACCCUGUUAUUGUGUUUUGCAAAGUGCUUUAGACAUUUAGGGCAUAUUUGGGUACACAUUUGUAUUUUUUUAAUGUGCAUUUGGAGAAAGAGGUUUAUGUGAAUAUGUAAUUGUGGAAUGCAUUGAGUGUCUGAUAAAAAAUAGAUGAAAACUGAAUCUUAAAUGUGUAUUGAUGUAAGUGUAUUUCAAAAGUCCAUUGAAUAUUAUGUGACAAAUUUAUCCAUCUGACAUUUGCAAAUAAAUAAAUAAGAUUUCACCUUAUAAAAGAAAUAAAUCAUGUUGGUUUCUUGUAAGAAGAGUCGAUGGACUUGUGAGAACCUAAGAGGAGAGUCGGCGAUGGCAAAAAUCAAGAGAAGGGGAGAGGAAAUAAGAGUUAGGGAUUCUAUUAUAUAGUGAUAAUCUUGUAAUUUGAGAGAAUGUCAUAGGAUACUUUGGGAAAUCUAAAAAAUUUCAUUAGUAUCCCACAAAUGCUGAAAUACUAAUGCUAUCUUGAGGUAAUAUCAGUAUUUGAGUAUUUGCAAUGCAGCAUCUAGGUCAAAUGCCAUUUGAAAAAAUUUACCAAGCAUCAAUUCACAUUUGAAAUGUGCAUUGGGCCCUCAAUGUACAUUUUGAAUGUGUUCCCAAGUACACCCUUAGACUCUUUCCUAAUCUUACUAGUCUAGUAAUGCUAUGGCCUGUAUGUUGCACAUGCAAUUGGAAUGUGAACAUUUUUAACUUAUUGAUCAUACGAGGAAUCAAAACUUUGAAACUAAGUUAUGUUGCUUAAAGAACAAAAUGACAUGAUACUUUAUUCCACCUUGGAAAAUUUCUGAUGUCACACUUCUCUCCAAAAUCCUUCUCUUUAGUGCUUGGGAACAUUGCUGAGUGGUAACUAACAUUGGAACAAACUAAAAUGAACAUGUUUUCCUCAGCAUGAGUGUUCAUAGUUUUUAUUGUGUCCUCUUUGGCAUAUGUCAUUCCAUAUCAACUCUUCAAGUCAUGGUAGCAAAAUUAACGCAUUGAUAUAUGCACUUGAAGGUUGUGGGACAAUAUGUCGACAUCAGUAAAUGUAGAAGAAUUCUAAUUUGUAGUUGCACCUGAUAAUGGGACACCAUAAUUAUAAUUUAGAUGUAGCUCCAAUUUAUGGCUGGUUAAAUGGUGAGAUUUAUUUGUGAUAUGACUUUCAUGCUUCCUAGUCAUAUGGAUAGGAAUUGUUGCUACCUCUCUAGGUCUGUGCUUAUUUUUGCUGUGCAUAUCAAACCAGCAUAAAGUGUUAAUGGACUUCCUUUUCCGACACUUCAGCAUGGUAGAUAGGUAUAUGCUUCUAUACAGAGCUCAUUUUUCACCAUGCCUUCAUUAAAGUAGAUGGCUUUAGUUUUGAUAUUAUAUGACAACAAUUGUCUCUGUCAUCUUUUGCUACUGGUUGCUUAAUCUAUUCUGAUGUUUGUUGACUUUGUUUUCUUUUUAUCAAGAAAAUUUAGUAAUAUAAGAUUAAUAUCUGAUUACACAGAACUAGGCAGUUCUUCUAUUGUAAUAAACAAUACGGUAAUAUGAUGGAUCAUAGACCCACAGAAACUGUAGUAAUAUGACAAAGAAGAACUGAUUGCUCUCUUGCAACUCAUGACAUGUUUAUUAGCUAGGCUCAAGUCUUUCUUCUUUAUUUUCACUCCUAUUCUGUCAUAACACUUGUUCUAGAUUUUCGUAUGAAAGAAGUUGCAGAAGUAUCCGAAAAAUAAAAGUAACAAAACUUUGCCUGGAGUUGGUAGAACUUGAAACUUCGCCUUUAGUAAAAUUUACUUCUCUGGAGAUGGCUUAACAUCACGGUAUGUCAUUUAUUUUUCUCAUCCCUCAUGUUUCACUCAUCCACUUUGUAUCAGCGGAAGAAGGUAUCCUUUUAUAUUCAGCCAAUAUGUUUUUCCAUUUUCUGUAGCAUCUAUGCUAGUCAAAAUUAAUAGGAAGAGCAUAAAGAUUGUUCAGUGGAAUAAAAGUGUCAAACAUGAUUAAGGCUGGGUAAUUAUAGGUAUUUACUCACUUUUUUCUUUGACUCCUCUGGGAGCAUGUGACUUUGUGAAUAAGUAGGGUGUAUCUGACAUGCUAACACUGUACCGAUGUUGGAGAUGCUGAAAGUGUUCACAUACCACGACAAAUGAGUAUUUCCAUGCUUCAAUGUUUAUUAAGAAAAGGCUCAAUACUAACAUAUGGGACAGUUGACUAUAACGAUAUUGAGCCAUGCAGUUUGGACUGACUAUACUGUAAUGGUAUUGUGUGAUACAGUUUGGAUGAAGAAAUACUUAACAGAUCUGGAUCGUUGGUUCCGCCUGACACUGGAUGCAUCCGAGGGUUCUCUUAGCAUGGUGUAGAAGAUGGACCACAUAUGGGCAGAAUAUAUGAAGAAGUUUGAAGAGGCUAAAGGAUGUUGGGAGGGAGCUGCAGGUAGAAGCUACCAACCAGUCGGUUGAAGACAAGCUACUGAAUUCGCCGCAAGUCUAGAAAAUAGACUCGUGAAAGAUCAGAAUUCUUCAGAGGGGCCUCUUUCUGGUGCAGUAUCGAUCGUGCAAGACGAAAUACAUUUGACAAAGUCUCAUGUAUUUUGUGAAAUGCUGGCUGGCUGCCCGGGCAAGAGCUCAGUGGUGGCACAGUUUUGAGUUAAUUUUUUUCCGAGGGGUAGAUUGGUUCGAGGCUUUUGGUUUUCCGGUAUAUGGUGCACAUCAUCAUUCUUCUUGUUUCCACAAGAAAGCCCGGUAAAUCGCUGGGGAAAAUGUGUUUUAAAGUUUCUUCACCAAACUCUCGAACAAAUUAUAGUUUCUGGUUAUCGUACGAUACGAAUGUUGCUCCCCUCCCUGUGGUGCUUAAACCUCAUUAUACUGGCAAUUGUUGG
Musa acuminata AAA Group (dessert banana) is the source of this 3328-nucleotide long non-coding RNA. RefSeq lists it as uncharacterized. NCBI's taxonomy places the organism in Eukaryota, Viridiplantae, Streptophyta, Magnoliopsida, Zingiberales, Musaceae. The transcript has 3 exons. The record is from RefSeq and is a predicted model, not a curated record.